AUGCUCUGGUUUCUCUUCAUAAUAAAUAAAUCUUUCGUCUUUUGCUAAAGAUUUCUGUGGAGAGGAACAAUUAUGAGUUUAUAGCCAAUUUUUUUAAUGUUCUACUUAGGCAGGGCU
This is a small nuclear RNA of Callithrix jacchus (white-tufted-ear marmoset), 117 nucleotides long. Its record names the gene U5. It matches the Rfam family "U5 spliceosomal RNA". From Rfam's summary of the family: U5 RNA is a component of both types of known spliceosome. The precise function of this molecule is unknown, though it is known that the 5' loop is required for splice site selection and p220 binding, and that both the 3' stem-loop and the Sm site are important for Sm protein binding and cap methylation. NCBI's taxonomy places the organism in Eukaryota, Metazoa, Chordata, Mammalia, Primates, Cebidae. The record is from Ensembl.